RNAcentral lists this ribosomal RNA (431 nucleotides) under uncultured bacterium. RNAcentral describes it as "partial 16S ribosomal RNA". It matches the Rfam family "Bacterial small subunit ribosomal RNA", at positions 29 to 507 of the family's 1533-position model. The record is from RNAcentral.
AACGAACGCUGGCGGCAGGCUUAACACAUGCAAGUCGAGCGCCCCGCAAGGGGAGCGGCAGACGGGUGAGUAACGCGUGGGAACGUACCUUUUGGUUCGGAACAACUCCGGGAAACUGGAGCUAAUACCGGAUAAGCCCUAACGGGGAAAGAUUUAUCGCCGAACGAUCGGCCCGCGUCUGAUUAGCUAGUUGGUGAGGUAACGGCUCACCAAGGCGACGAUCAGUAGCUGGUCUGAGAGGAUGAUCAGCCACACUGGGACUGAGACACGGCCCAGACUCCUACGGGAGGCAGCAGUGGGGAAUAUUGGACAAUGGGCGCAAGCCUGAUCCAGCCAUGCCGCGUGAGUGAUGAAGGCCUUAGGGUUGUAAAGCUCUUUUGUCCGGGAAGAUAAUGACUGUACCGGAAGAAUAAGCCCCGGCUAACUUCGUG